AACGAACGCUGGCGGCAGGCUUAACACAUGCAAGUCGAACGCAUCCUUCGGGGUGAGUGGCAGACGGGUGAGUAACGCGUGGGAACGUGCCCUUCAGUUCGGGAUAACCCAGGGAAACUUGGGCUAAUACCGGAUACGUGCGAGAGCAGAAAGAUUUAUCGCUGAAGGAUCGGCCCGCGUCUGAUUAGCUAGCUGGUGGGGUAAUGGCCCACCAAGGCGGCGAUCAGUAGCUGGUCUGAGAGGAUGAUCAGCCACAUUGGGACUGAGACACGGCCCAAACUCCUACGGGGGGCAGCAGUGGGGAAUAUUGGACAAUGGGCGCAAGCCUGAUCCAGCCAUGCCGCGUGAGUGAUGAAGGCCUUAGGGUUGUAAAGCUCUUUCGUCCGGGACGAUAAUGACGGUACCGGAAGAAGAAGCCCCGGCUAACUUCGUGCCAGCCGCCGCUGUAA
Molecule: ribosomal RNA, 449 nt
Filed under: uncultured bacterium
Lineage: Bacteria
Description: partial 16S ribosomal RNA
Rfam family: Bacterial small subunit ribosomal RNA
Source: RNAcentral